AAAUGUUCUCAGCUUUUGGCUCAAAUCAAGAGUAGCAUGUGUUCUUAUCAGUUUAAUAUCUGAUGUGUCCUCUGACAACAAUAUAGUCAACGGAUUUUGGCUGGUUUGUUGGUUGGUUUGUUUUGAAACAAAGAUUCUUCUCCUUCUACUCCAUCCAUCCACCUGGAACUAUAGUGCCUCAGAGAAUGAUUCACGUCAU
Molecule: small nuclear RNA, 199 nt
Organism: Psammomys obesus (fat sand rat)
Lineage: Eukaryota; Metazoa; Chordata; Mammalia; Rodentia; Muridae
Product: U2 spliceosomal RNA
Exons: 1
Source: RefSeq, a predicted model, not a curated record